Non-coding RNA from Procambarus clarkii (red swamp crayfish), 2483 nucleotides. Lineage: Eukaryota; Metazoa; Arthropoda; Malacostraca; Decapoda; Cambaridae. The record is from RefSeq and is a predicted model, not a curated record.
AGGUUAGUGUUUGUGUUUGAGUGGUGGCGGCGAGAGUGCUGACACUCUCUCCUGAAAUUCUUCACUUGCAACACGACAGUGACUGAUUUUAUCGGUCGCUAUGUGUAUUGGCGAUAGGCAAGGUUGUGCAACAGGUGCCCCAAUCAGCCGUCCUCUGACUUGAGGUGCAUGCUCUACCAAGUGUAUUAUGGAUUGUCCUUAAAGACCGGAAGAAUACAAGGCAGGCAACUGUUGGCAAUCUCCGUGGCUACCACUCGAGUACAAGGAAUACCGUGGCAAUGUGGUGACCAGUUGGUAGGCUUCAAAAAGCUGUUGUCUGCAAUCUCCUUGAUGUCGUCAAUGUGUCCACUGAACCAUGGCAGAACAGAAAAGGAAAAUGGCAAUAUGUCCCAAGUUGAAGUGCAGUUAUUGGAGAACGAUGUUGUAUCCAGAGAGUGAGAAACCAGACAUGAGUCGCCUGCGGGCUGGGGAUUCUUCACCUGCUGUAUGAACGUGCCUGUGCCUUGGUGUUCAUCGCAGAUCUCUGCAGUCAGUAGGAAAAGGAGCUGGUGGCUGAGCAGACAGAACAUGUGAUCCUGGGUACCGGCGAGAAACAAUGGGCAUAGUUUCUUUCACCCUGAUGCCCCUGUUACCUGGGAGUUUGUCAUUGGGACACUAAGGCCUGAAAUCAUCAAGAUGAUAGUGAUUUGUCCGUCAAUAGAAUGUGAAUGCAUUGAUAUAGAUUGUAUGAGCGUACAACGUGAACAGUAGCACUGAGGAAUUGUUUUUAGACAUAACCUCGAUGAUGAAGAUGUCUUAAGGUGACACGAGUUUAGCAUGAAGGACUACAGAUUAUAUCACAAAACUAAUUGACAUGUGUUGUAUCAUAUGAUAAAUAUAUGUCAAAGCUGGUCUAUUUACAAGUAGGUAACACACAUAUUUGAUGUAUAAAUGUACUGUAGUAGAAUGUGAUACAUAUGACUUACAGUAGAAAUGUGUUGUUAAAUAGUAAAUGAGCUUGUACAUAUAAUAUACAUUGUCAUAAUCAGGUUGAUAGGGUAAAGUUUAAAAAAAUAUGGCUGCUAGUAAGAAGCCUGUAUGUUUAAUGACAUAUGAAAAUACAUAUAUAUUUGGUAUUGGUGAAAACAUUAGUUAGUUUUGUAAAUAUUUGUCUUAGAGUUUGGAUUGAAGAGGCAAUAACUGAGGUCAAAGGUGAGCUAGGACGGAUAUUUCAGCAUCACUGGAGGUGGGUUGAGAUGAUGGUGUAAUGUAAUUUGAACCUGAUACUGUGACAACAACAGCAUCGGAACCAAUGACUUGUGAUGAAUCUGUAGUCUGUACAAUGGUAACGGUAUUGUCGUCUUUACGACACUCUUUCUUGGCCGGUGGUAUUGAGGAAUGCUCCUCCAUGACGGCUAGCUUUUCUCUCUGUAGUAGCUGCGCAGCACGUAGUGAACCUUGUUGUGAAGGUGGUGCCGCAGUAGAAUAUAUAGAGUCGUGGGAGAGGAAUGAUAAGCACGAGGGAUCCCUUGAGUGUGCAAUGGAGGCGCCUGCUGGAUGAGAUGAGGGCAUGGCGUCAGGGUUUUGUGACACAGAGCCUUCUCUAGACCGAUAACUCGGGGGAUGACUAUAGUUGCUCUCUCGACCCAGUGUGUUGACUGUUAAUCUGAUAUAAAGAGAAUAAUAUGAGUAAAAGGUAAUUGGUGUGUGAAAUAGGACAGAUAUACAUAUGUAUGUUUUAGUACAAUGGGUAAAUAGUAUAACAUGGCAAACACAGUAGUAAAUAAACAAAUUUACUAACCCUCUAAGAUUAUGAGGGCCAGAUCGAUAGGUUGGGGGUGGUGACGGUGCUUGAGGAUUUGCAGUGUGUCCCUGGUGCCGAUCUAAUAGUAGCAACCGCAGCCUGUAUUCUUGCAUUGAAGCUUGGUAACUCGGAGGUGGAGGACGGUACUGGAAUUCUGGGUACAUCAUUGCUGAAAUUAGUUGAUAGUAUAAAUUGUAUAACCAAUGGCAGGAAGUAAUAUUGCUUGUGAUAGUUAUGUAUUUGAUAUGACACUUUGAUGUAUGGUUAGACUGAAUAUAGUUUCACAUAUUAAAUAACAGGAUAAUGUUAUUAAUGGAUAACAGGAUAAUGUUAUAAUAAAGUGCACACAGAUGUAGUCUGUAAAGGGGGGGCGGGGGACAUGGUUCCUGUAUUGUUUUUGUUAACCAUGUGUAUAAAAUGCAUAGUGUUUCAUUAUAUGUUAUGUUAGCAUAUAAAGAAAUGAUAUUUAAAUGAAAAUGUGAACAAGGCUGAAAAAAAGUACUUAUGGGUUAGUCUACAAAAUAUAUAAAAAAUACUUGAAUUAAGCACCCUGAUAUCAUAUGGUUCAUGGGCAUUGCUUUAAUAAUGAGUUGCACACGUCUCAUAGACGUUGUUACAUGUAAUGUAACACUACAUUAGCUACAUGUAAUGCAGGAAAUAUAACAUUUAGACAGAAAUCACAUAUAUAAUAUGUCUUUCU